Molecule: long non-coding RNA, 723 nt
Organism: Lactuca sativa (garden lettuce)
Lineage: Eukaryota; Viridiplantae; Streptophyta; Magnoliopsida; Asterales; Asteraceae
Source: RefSeq, a predicted model, not a curated record
UUGACGGCAUAAAAAUAUCAUAUCCGUCUUGGGUUAAUCUAUUUAAACUACAUGCAAGCAGACAUAAAAUAUUGAAUCAUAAUAACCACACCAUUCCAACAUGUCAAACUUAUCCUACAUAUGUGUUGAAUGUUAGGCUGAUGGGAGUGGAGAUGCUAAGCACUCUCGCUAAGAGCUCGCUAGGAAAAGGAACACCGCCCCUAGCUCUCGCUAGGGGGCUCGCCAGCUUGAAGUCGCUACAUGCGUAACGAGAGGAGAGAGAGGAGAAGAGUAGCACCUGAUUGGUUCUUUCCUUUUUGACCUGAAAGAUCUUGUAUGAGCCAGACAUUCACUGGCCAAGAAAAUAGAUGCUCAAGCUCUCAAUCGUUUCCCCCCUUUUGAAUUCUUCAACUAGAUCCAAUAAUGAAAUGGGUGAUUUGAUUCAUUAAUCCAAUGAAAUGUGUGAUAUGCUUCAAACAUGUUUUCAUUGGUUGAUGUUUUGAACCAACAGCCGUGAUUUGGACCUGAAACAACAUUAGCAAGGAAAAGAUGUAAACAGAGCAAUAACAAGAGCCUGCAACUCAAUUUCAAAUGUAACUGAAAUGGGAGUUUGAACAAGUAUUGCUGAAAUUAUCCGGGUCUAUGAUGGAUUAUGUAUAAAAAAAUAUAUGUAAAAUUUUGUGUAUUAAAAAAUAUAAUUUAUUUAAAUUUGAAAAUAAAAAUAGAGUGUUAGGAGUGUUACCA